This is a long non-coding RNA of Papilio polytes (common Mormon), 161 nucleotides long. RefSeq lists it as uncharacterized. The transcript is spliced from 2 exons. The record is from RefSeq and is a predicted model, not a curated record. NCBI's taxonomy places the organism in Eukaryota, Metazoa, Arthropoda, Insecta, Lepidoptera, Papilionidae.
GCACCCCCCGCCAUCGGCACCAGGAACGAUUACAGCUUGCUGGAGAACUCCGCGCUGGACCCCGCCUCGCUGCGCGCAAAUUCAGACACAUUGAGCUUUAGGAAAGGAUCGAGUGAAAAAUCAACGAAAGCCGACAGCGAGUGAAAGUUACAUUUAAAAAU